GGGAGUAACUAUUGGAAACGAUAGCUAAUACCGCAUAAAAGACGAUAUCGCAUGAUAUUGACUUGAAAGGUGCAAUUGCAUCACUAAGAGAUGGACCUGCGUUGUAUUAGCUAGUUGGUGAGGUAACGGCUCACCAAGGCGACGAUACAUAGCCGACCUGAGAGGGUGAUCGGCCACACUGGGACUGAGACACGGCCCAG
RNAcentral lists this ribosomal RNA (200 nucleotides) under uncultured Streptococcaceae bacterium. RNAcentral describes it as "partial 16S ribosomal RNA". It matches the Rfam family "Bacterial small subunit ribosomal RNA", at positions 139 to 334 of the family's 1533-position model. The record is from RNAcentral. Lineage: Bacteria; Bacillati; Bacillota; Bacilli; Lactobacillales; Streptococcaceae.